This 3811-nucleotide long non-coding RNA is filed under the name Homo sapiens (human). RNAcentral describes it as "HSALNT0354395". Lineage: Eukaryota; Metazoa; Chordata; Mammalia; Primates; Hominidae. The record is from RNAcentral.
CAAAGUGCUACGAUUACAGGCAUGAGCCACCACGCUUAGCCUGGAAACCUACUUUUAAAAAAAUGUCUGGUAAAUAUCAACUCAUUCAAGCCUUCCCUUUCCUCACUAUUAUAAAUGCUAAGAUGACAUGGUUAAUUGUACUUCAUCAGCCUGAUCUUUAUUAAGGAGCAUGACUCAAGAAUAGGGGUUUCAGAUGGUUCACAGAAAACAUAUAACAAACCGUCUUUAGAAAGAUUAAAAGGUGCAUAGCCUUGUUCACAGAGAAUGUAAUUAAAACAGAAAUUCUGGAUUUUACCCAUCAGACUAAGUUAAAAAAAAAAAAAAGCUAGCAAAGGCUAUGAUUUGCUUCCUGUGAGGUCACAAAGGCAUUGUCAUAAUUGCUGGGGGUGUCUGUGAGCUGGGGGGAGUAUAAACAGGUGGAAUAUAUUUGGAGAGAAAUUUCAUUAGACAAUAUCCAACUUAAAUAUGCACAUACCUUUUAACCUGGAUGCUACUUCGAGGGAAUUUAUUCUACAGAUAGAUUUGUUCAAGUGCACAAACACAAGCAAGAGAGUGGAAGCAAAUCAUCCUAGACCAAUGUAGGGUAUUUUCCUGGUACGUUUGGAAGACUUGGUCAGCCAGGGAAUUGAUUUACAACUCUUAAGUUUGGGAAAUACUGAUCCGAAGGGAUCAAUAUGGCUGUUCAGGGAGUUCUUUAAUGAGCUCAGAUUUUAAAGGACUAGUUAAAAGCUGUAAAGUCAAGGGCAACAAAAAGACUCUGUCAUUACUUGUGUUCAGAGCGGGACCCAGGAGGCUGGAGUCGCUGACCUGGAAGGAUGGUGCAAUAUUAACAGGCAAGAAGGACUGAGAGGAAUUACCACACUGUCCUUAUUCCUCCAUCUUUGUGGUUAAGGAGAACCAUCUUCAACAGAAAUGGUAGACCAAUAAACGAAAUAGGCAAAAGGGUUUUGAAGACCAAGGUAAUUAAUUACCUGGCAGGAUUUAGAGACUUCUGGCAUGAAUUACAUCAAUCAAAUGACAACUGUCAAUACACUGUUGGAUGUUCUGAGGGACCACAGAAACAUGAAUAGAUGAUAAACCAGUACAUACCCGAGUUCCAAAAUGUAAAAGUUAAUUCCAUUAGUUAUGGAAUAGUGAGUGUGGUUUUACUGUCAAGUAAUAUUCCAGAAGACAUUGUUCAUUUGUGAACUCUUUGGAAGGAAGCCAUAGAGUGGACCGUCUCAAAUAAGCAGUGGUUCAUUAAGAAUAAUGUCCAAUCUCUGCGGGACUACUGCUGAAUGAUGCCUGUGGGGACAGGAUUUUUAGACUGGGGGAGGGGUGGUAAGGUGUGGAGAGGGUUACUAGACCACUGGAGGGGGUGUGUUUGGGGAGAAGACAGUAAACAGCGUUAUUAGAUCACAGGUGAUGGAGAUGAACAAGGUUACCAGCCCUGGUGUGUGUGAGUGGGAGAUAUGGACAGUUAUGACUGGUAGUGGUGAUGGUGGAGGGAACAUGGUUACCAGGCCACACUGGUGGGGGCUGUAUGGACAGUUAGCUACCUACUGGUGUGGUGGUAAUGCAGAUGGACAGGGGUUACUAGAUGGCUGGAGGGAGUGGAUGGCUCUCUGGUUAGCAAUUAGAUUUCAGUGGAGUGAACUGUUCAACAUCAUCUAGCAGUCUCAUGGAGAUAUGGAUCCCCACGGUUGCAAAUGGUGGGAUGAAGGGUGAGAGGCAAGAGACCACUGUGGUUGAGACCAUAGGCUCUGGAAUACAGGCUGCUUGGUUAAACUCUAAGCCUGAGCUUCCCUAUCUAUGAAAAACAGGAUACUACCCAUCUCACAGAGUGGUCAGGAAAUGAAGUGACACAUGCAAAGCCUAGCAUUAGAUGACUAGCCCCUAUAUAUUAGCGCAGAUCAAUGUCUACCUACCGGGGUUUCCAAUGUCACGUGGCUGGACUUUCUUCUGCCCUGUACAGCAUGAUACCAAUGCCUCAAACGAGAACACAGCUGACACACUGAGUAAUAUUCAGAUGAUGAAACUGAAUCUAGAAGUCACAUGGUGGUCAGUGUCCUACUCACAGUAUGAUGCCCCCAUACUGGAUAAGGUUGUUCAGAUACCUUCAGACCAGCCCAGAGAUGAUGUAUUAUUGCCUGUUAUCUGGUUAGACAUCUCCUUUCAAAUGAAUGUGGAAUAAUCCAUUUGCUGAGCAGACAUUCACUGAGCACCUGCUAUCUGUCAGGUGCUGGGGAACAAAGGCAAGUAAGACACAAAGCUCAGAUUGAUGCAGUGUACAGGUUUCAGGAUGAGAUAAACAAAAGAGCCCAUUUUAAUACAAAGCUGUAAGUGCAACGUUGCUAUAGAUGGGGGUAGAAAGGGAGGGGGUUAUUACUGGAACACAGAAAUUAACCCAAUUUGCAGAGGUGGGGCCGUCAAGAGUCCCUGGGAGAAGAUGUCUGGGCAGAGGCAGACAUUGAGCAGGAGUUAGGGGAAGGGAUGGGAGUGACAGAAUUCUAGGCAGAAAGAACAGUAUUUGCAAAGGCACAGAUGUGAGUAACAGCAGGGUGUGGCACAUGCCAGGAACCACAAGCAAUUUGGCAUUGAAGGAUUUUCAACAGUAGGGUGAGAAAUGGUGGAUAUAUGCUAGAGCAAGAGGAUGGAGACACGGAGUGGGGAAUUCCACUGAGAGGCCCUUGGACUUCAUCCUCAGGGUAAUGGCAAGCACUGCAAUGGCACAGGCCGACUGUGUUUUAGAAAGAUCACUCUAGUGACUGGGAGGAGCAUGAGCUUGUCAGGAGCAACUGGAGUCAGGGAGAUCAGGAAGGGCACCUCUGAGCCAGAGAAAAGAUGCUCCUAUGGGAUCCAUGCCAGUAAGAAGAGAGAAGAAAGCCCAAGUAUGAAUACCAAGGCAGAGGUGAACAGACCUAGGUACUGUUUGGAUAUGGGUGGCGACAGGGAGAAGAGUUGUAGAUGAUGUAUACAUUCUUACUGUGGGUAAAAAAGGGAAUUCAGGCAGAAGAAAAGUUUUGUGGGAGGAGGGUAAAAGAUGAUCGAUUUGAUUUUUGAUAGGUGGAGUUUGACGUGUACACAGGAUACCCAAGUUGAAAUGUCAGUCCAAAAGUUCACAGGACAGUCUGGGUUACAGAGGAUGGUUUCAGAGUCAACAGCAUGAUAAAAUCAUGACAGAAUGAGAAGACUUGGGUAGACUGUGGUGAAAAGAGCAGUGAGCAGAAGAAAGACCUUUAGAAAACACCAACAGGUAAUAGGAUGGCAGAAAAGGAGGCUGUUAAGACUGAACUGGUCAACUGCUGUAGAGAAAGGUCCACUAAGUUAAGGAAUGAAAAGUGUACACUUCAUUUAACAAUCAGGAUAUCAUAAGUAUGCAUACUGGUGAGGCUUCUUGGUUGCAGACAACUGAAACCACUCAAGUUACUUUAAGCAGAGAGGUAUUUAUUAGAGGGUAUUAUAUGGCAUACACAAUUUCCAGGAGCCCACAGAUAAGGGUUUGGAUGCCUUCCUGCCAGGAAGAGCACAAGUAGCCAGGACAAACACGUACCUUUACAGGACUAUUACUGAGGAAAUCCCACUGCCACCACUUCUCUCUACUCAGCACCUGUGACAGGCAGGACAACCUUCACCAGAGUUGCCCCAGAUGAAGAAAGGCAUCAGCUGCUGUGCCUAUAAGAUCCACUCUUGCCAAGAGCAGCCUCAUUCUAGGAUGAUCUUGCUCCACCCACCUAACUGAAUGCUCACCUUCAGACUUCCAAAAGCCAACUGUUCUGUUACCAAGGUCAUUCACAAAUGAGACUUCUGCAUAGCAACAAGAAUCAAUUUA